Podarcis lilfordi (Lilford's wall lizard) is the source of this 71-nucleotide non-coding RNA. Lineage: Eukaryota; Metazoa; Chordata; Lepidosauria; Squamata; Lacertidae. The record is from the annotation of a GenBank genome assembly.
GAAGUAGCUCAGUUGGUUAGAGUGUGGUGCUGAUAACACAAAGGUUGCAGGUUUGAGCCCUGUUUGUGACA